RNAcentral lists this ribosomal RNA (393 nucleotides) under Zonitis sayi. Its description in RNAcentral is "partial large subunit ribosomal RNA". Lineage: Eukaryota; Metazoa; Arthropoda; Insecta; Coleoptera; Meloidae. The record is from RNAcentral.
AAUUGAAAGCUGGAAUGAAUGGCUGAAUAAGGAAAUUACUGUCUCUUUUUAAUUAAUUAAAAUUUUAUUUUUAAGUUAAAAAGCUUAAAUUUAAUAGAAAGACGAGAAGACCCUAUAGAGUUUAAUAAAUCUAGUUUUUUGUAAGUGAGGAUUAUAUAAUAUAAUGACCUUGAUUUAUUUUGUUGGGGUGACAAUAGAAUUUAAUAAACUUCUUUUUUAUAAUCAUUGAUUUAUGAAUAAAUGAUCUUGAUUUUUGGAUUAAAAGAAUAAAUUACCUUAGGGAUAACAGCGUAAUUUUUUUGGAGAGUUCUUAUCAAUAAAAGAGAUUGCGACCUCGAUGUUGGAUUAAAGUUUAAUGUUGGUGAAGAAGCUAAUAUAUUGAGACUGUUCGAC